CCGGCAGCAAAGUUCCGCAGGGUGGGGAAAGCGCCCUCGCGGCAGGAGGCUGGAAAGCUGACCGCCGGAGAGUGGAAGCCGGACCAGGUCCCGAGUUGUACUGUCCGUCCCGCGCAGCCACCUGGGCUCGGGCGCCUUCCCCCCGCGAGCAGGCGUUUCUGCGGCGGCUUUUCGGCGGGAGGGAUUCUGCUCCGGUUCGCUCACUUUCUGCGCCCGUCGGAGGCCGGUGGCAGCACAACACCGCGUCCUGGCCAAAGGACAAGUGGGUCUGGAGGGACUGGACGGAAAUGCACCCCAGGUAUGCAAGACACUUUAUCUGUAAUCAUCACGCCUAAAAUGAAUGACCCAACUCCAGCUUUCCCCUAGCCAGAGACGGCAGAAGGAGGUAUCUGGAAGUCUGCAUGAAAACAGGUUAAACACUGAAGCUGUUUCUAUGAAAAAUAAAGAAAUGCACAACGCAAA
Molecule: long non-coding RNA, 462 nt
Organism: Lynx canadensis (Canada lynx)
Lineage: Eukaryota; Metazoa; Chordata; Mammalia; Carnivora; Felidae
Exons: 2
Source: RefSeq, a predicted model, not a curated record